AAUGAACGCUGGCGGCAUGCCUAACACAUGCAAGUCGAACGAAGGCUUCGGCCUUAGUGGCGCACGGGUGCGUAACGCGUGGGAAUCUGCCCUUGGGUUCGGAAUAACAGUUAGAAAUGACUGCUAAUACCGGAUGAUGUCGUAAGACCAAAGAUUUAUCGCCCAAGGAUGAGCCCGCGUAGGAUUAGCUAGUUGGUGGGGUAAAGGCCCACCAAGGCGACGAUCCUUAGCUGGUCUGAGAGGAUGAUCAGCCACACUGGGACUGAGACACGGCCCAGACUCCUACGGGAGGCAGCAGUGGGGAAUAUUGGACAAUGGGCGAAAGCCUGAUCCAGCAAUGCCGCGUGAGUGAUGAAGGCCUUAGGGUUGUAAAGCUCUUUUACCCGGGAUGAUAAUGACAGUACCGGGAGAAUAAGCUCCGGCUAACUUCGUGCCAGCAGCCGCGGUAAUACGAGGGGAGCUAGCGUUAUUCGGAAUUACUGGGCGUAAAGCGCACGUAGGCGGCUUUGUAAGUUAGAGGUGAAAGCCCAGAGCUCAACUCUGGAAUUGCCUUUAAGACUGCAUCGCUUGAAUCCAGGAGAGGUGAGUGGAAUUCCGAGUGUAGAGGUGAAAUUCGUCGAUAUUCGGAAGACACCAGUGGCGAAG
This 645-nucleotide ribosomal RNA is filed under the name uncultured Alphaproteobacteria bacterium. RNAcentral's name for it is "bacterial SSU rRNA". It matches the Rfam family "Bacterial small subunit ribosomal RNA", at positions 28 to 720 of the family's 1533-position model. The record is from RNAcentral. Lineage: Bacteria; Pseudomonadati; Pseudomonadota; Alphaproteobacteria.